CAGGCAUGAACAGACAUGAGCAGGCAUGAAUAGGUUUGAUCAGGUCUGAACGUUUGUGUUAACGCUUCAGACAUGAACAGACAUGAACAGGCAUGAACAGGUCUGCUCAGGUCU
Long non-coding RNA from Cotesia glomerata, 114 nucleotides. RefSeq lists it as uncharacterized. The transcript is spliced from 3 exons. The record is from RefSeq and is a predicted model, not a curated record. Lineage: Eukaryota; Metazoa; Arthropoda; Insecta; Hymenoptera; Braconidae.